AGACGCAACCUAGACGGUCCCUGGUUCAUCCAGCCACCCGAACCAGCCAGCCAACCAGCCAGCCAGCCAGCCAACCGGGCUAGGCUAGACACAUCGACCAUGCUCCGUUUCUCUCGUUGCCUCUCCUCUUCUUUCUACGCGCGCCGCGCCUGUCCUUGUCCUGCCCGCCGCUACCGUCCCACCUAUAUACUGUCACGGUCCUCGUCGCACCCGGCCACCAACGCGAGAGCAUACCUAUAUGCUCCCCAACCGGAUUUCCCAUCGUUCUCUCGUCGCACCGGCUCACCAACGCUUCCUCCCUCCCCGCGAGAGAUGCAAAUCCUCAAUAGCAUCGUUGGAUCCUAGAUCCCAUUGGCAGCGAUCGUGACGUAGACGAUGCACCCAGUCUUCGCCCUGUCCCUCCUUCCACUCGCAGUCUUCCUCGCGGGGAAGGUGUUGUCUCGCGACCUAGGAAUUGUUUCCGUUUCGCGAGACGUCGAUUCUCGCACGAUCUCUCUCUCUAUAGUAUUCGGUGAAAAUUUAGCUUGCUUUCGACUGACAGCCUUCCAUUUGCUAUUUGACGCGUCGCGAGAAUUCUAAUGGGGAGAUACGAAGGAAUUGUGGAAGGAGUGGCGGAAGAUUUAAAGAGGAUUUUUAUCGAGAACGUUAUCCGCGAUUCUUGAGUCAAGGGGAUAAAGAACUUUGUUGAUUGGAAAUUGGAAUUAUCUUCAUUCAACGUUACUUCAUCACAAAGAUAUUUUAUUUUGCAAUUCUUCUGUGACACACUUCAACGUUACUUGAAAAGUUUAUAGGAAAAACCAACCACCUUUUCCGGUUGCAUCCCGUGAUUCGCAUGCACUUCUUCCAUAUCGGCCAUAGCAAGCAGCCAGACCGAGCUUUCACGAGGAAUUAAGUGAUAUAAGAAAAACCAUCCUUUUCCGGUUGCAUCCCGCAUACACUUCUUCCAUAUCGGCCGUAGCAAGCAGCCAGACCGAUCAACUUGAGCUUUCACGAGGAAUUAAGGAUAGAGCUUCAUCCCCCGCGGUAUACGCAUCUUCCUAUAUCGUCCCGGCUAGGCCGCCCCUCGCCCCCGGCCCGGCCGCCGUUUUAAUCGGCCCGACUGCAAUGCAUAAAUCCCCGUUAAAUAAUACGGUAGUUAACAGUGCCAUUAAGCCGUUCGAGAUACCGCAAAACCGGUAGGGUGCUCCUCGCUGUACGCGCGAAGUCCGUAUUUAUCGGCAGCCGACGCGCCACCACCGAGAAAUAUUGUUCUGCGCUCGUUUCCACUGGCGUUCGGGGGCCGACAAAAUACCGGGGACGAAGAGCAGGAGGGGUGAAAUAAAAGAACGAGAAGAAAAAAAAGGAGAAGGUAUAAAAUCGAAGGGAGAGGGAGGGAAAAAGCAGAGGCGCAUGAUAUGGCCGAGUGAGGAAACGGGCAGACGUACAAAUUUCCAUUCUCCACACCCAUUCCUUUUUGAGCCGCCGUCGUAAUUAAUUGUUUCGAGUGUAAUGAGCGGGAUCGUUUUUACGCGGCGCGGAUUCGUAAUUAGCGGGUUCCCGUAAAUAUGAAAUUUCAUCGCGAUUAUUUAAUGCCGAGACGACAGUUGGCGAGCGUGUGCACCGCGGGGCGAGGUUUCUGACACUUGGAGGGUCCGUUUUAAUGAUCUCGAUCCGUUGAUUCCGAAUGGACCCGUUUCCUUCUUGGACUCUAACGACUGGGCGAGGUGAAUGGCGCGAUAAUGUUUUUUGCUUUAUUUUUAUGAGAUCGGGGGGGAAUUUUCCGCUUAAAACUGAAGGAGAAUUCGAACGCGGGAUCAUUAAGGUAAAUAGAUAUUGGGAUGAUAGUCUAAUGGAUCGAGGUUUAAUGCGUAUUUUUUAUUACGAUAGUUUUAUAAUUUUGUCGUUGAAAGUUUUCGAGAAAGAUCCGUGCACGAUAUUAUUCUUCUUAUUCAACGAAUAUUCAAAUUUUUGAGUAAGAAAAGAAAUAUUGAUUUAAAAAUCGCAAUUAUAAUAAUGGAACAAUAAAAAAAGAAACAUGAAGAAGUGAAACUAACGACAAAUUCAUCGAUCGAUCUUGAAUUCGCGAUAUUUCAUGAGAACGAAAUUGCGGUGACCUCGUUAUUUGACAAACGAUCGUUUCUGUUCCGUCGAACAAUGCCGCGUAUCGGAGAAGAAACGGUAACGAGCAAUAGAUUUCGAUAUAACAAGCAACAUUCGUCAUAGUUUACGUAGAAUCGAAGCGUGGAUCGCCGGUCGGUUAUUUUUCUACCGGUAUCACGAGUCGUUCCAUGAUCGGAUUCGAAUAUUUUUCCGGGGAAAAACGACAAAUGAGAAGGAUUGAAAUUACUUGUAAGAGGGAUGACUGAUGUCGCGAUCCUUAUCCACGGCGGAAAUACCGAAGAAAGACACACAACGGAAAAAGUAUUGUCGAUGUCCAUUUCGAUCUAUCGAUACGAGUAUGUAUGACAAAUGGCUGUGAUGUAUUAUUAUUUUUUAUUUAUUUUAUUUAUUCUACUUUAAUUUUUAACAGGA
Long non-coding RNA from Apis mellifera (honey bee), 2511 nucleotides. RefSeq lists it as uncharacterized. Lineage: Eukaryota; Metazoa; Arthropoda; Insecta; Hymenoptera; Apidae. The transcript is spliced from 3 exons. The record is from RefSeq and is a predicted model, not a curated record.